RNAcentral lists this ribosomal RNA (253 nucleotides) under uncultured bacterium. Its description in RNAcentral is "partial 16S ribosomal RNA". It matches the Rfam family "Bacterial small subunit ribosomal RNA", at positions 524 to 776 of the family's 1533-position model. The record is from RNAcentral.
UACGUAGGGGGCAAGCGUUGUCCGGAAUUACUGGGCGUAAAGGGCGCGUAGGCGGCUUACCAAGUCAGGCGUGAAAUUCCCGGGCUCAACCUGGGGGCUGCGCUUGAUACUGGUGAGCUUGAAUGCGGGAGAGGAUAGUGGAAUUCCCAGUGUAGAGGUGAAAUUCGUAGAUAUUGGGAAGAACACCGGUGGCGAAGGCGGCUAUCUGGCCCGUAAUUGACGCUGAGGCGCGAAAGCGUGGGGAGCAAACAGG